CUGUGGUCACUAUUCAAUUAAUACAUUAAAUAUAUGCACUGCCUUCAGAAAGUAUUCACACCCAAAUGUUUCCUCUAAGCGGCACGUGGCCCUGCUCCCACGUGACUGGCUCAGAAAAAAUCAGCCUGUGCAGAUGUAACCGGUGUGAAAUGGCUAGCUAGUUAGCAGGGUACACGCUAAUAGCGUUUCAAUCGGUGAUGUCACUCGCUCGGAGACCUUGAAGUAGCUCCGCCGUGGCUGUUGUGGAGCGAUGGGUAACGGUGCUUUGAGGGCGACUGUUGUCGAUGUGUGCAGAGGGUCCCUGGUUCAAGCCCAGCGAGGAGAGGGACAGAAGCAACACUGUUACAUUGGUGCAGUGACCCAGGUCACUGGUUGCUGCAGAAAAGGAGGAGAUCAAAGGGGGACUCGGAAGAGGCGAAGGUCGAGAGCCAAUGUGUCCUCCGAAAAACACAACUCUGCCAAGCUGCACUGCUUCCAAGCUGCACUGCUUCAGGAAGCCAGCCGGCACCAAUGUCUCGGAGGAAACGCCGUCCAGCUGGCAACCGAGGUCAGCUUGCAGUUCCCUGGCCCACCAAAAGGAUUCGCUAGAGCAAAAGGAAAUCCCGGCAGACCAAACCCUCCCCUAACCCAGACGAUGCUGGGCCAAUUGUGCACCGCUUCAUGGGUCUCCCAGUCAAGGCUGUGACACAGUCUAGGAUCGCACUCGGGUCUGUAGUGACACCUCUAGCACUGCAAUGCAUUGCCUUAGACGGCUGCACCACUCAGGAGGCUAUUUUGUCCUAAUUAUAAAUGCCAGUGGAAACGGGGAUUACAGCUUUCAGAUCUUGGGGUGAGUCAACAAGGACAGGAUCAAAAACAUGGAUUAUUAUUGAAAUAGAAUGGAACCACUCAUGUCCAUAACACAAACUAUUACCUAGCAGUGACAGCAAGUCCUGAAACCAACUUUCCCUCCAACCAAUCUACAUCAGAGAGAAUUUCAGAAAUUGACGUAUUAUGGAAUGACUGAAUGAAAGGACUGCUUAAAGAAAUAAGUAAAUAUCAAUUUAGCUUGAGUUUAGUUCUCAAGAGUAAGAACACAGUUGUGUAUGCUUAGAAAUGUUUCAUGCACAUUGAAUUG
This is a long non-coding RNA of Oncorhynchus tshawytscha (Chinook salmon), 1117 nucleotides long. The record is from Ensembl. NCBI's taxonomy places the organism in Eukaryota, Metazoa, Chordata, Actinopteri, Salmoniformes, Salmonidae.